UGGGGUGUAGCUCAGUGGUCAAGCAUGUGCGUAGCACUUCUAAAUUCUGGGUUCAAUUCUCAGCACCCCCA
RNAcentral lists this transfer RNA (71 nucleotides) under Fukomys damarensis (Damara mole-rat). It matches the Rfam family "tRNA". Rfam says of the family: Transfer RNA (tRNA) molecules are approximately 80 nucleotides in length. Their secondary structure includes four short double-helical elements and three loops (D, anti-codon, and T loops). The record is from Rfam by way of RNAcentral. Lineage: Eukaryota; Metazoa; Chordata; Mammalia; Rodentia; Bathyergidae.